Molecule: ribosomal RNA, 172 nt
Filed under: uncultured beta proteobacterium GT13-2
Lineage: Bacteria; Pseudomonadati; Pseudomonadota; Betaproteobacteria
Description: partial 16S ribosomal RNA
Source: RNAcentral
GUUAGCCGGUGCUUAUUCUUCCGGUACCGUCAUCGGACAGGGAUAUUAGCCCCGUCCUUUUCUUCCCGAACAAAAGUGCUUUACAACCCGAAGGCCUUCUUCACACACGCGGCAUUGCUGGAUCAGGGUUGCCCCCAUUGUCCAAAAUUCCCCACUGCUGCCUCCCGUAGGC